This 794-nucleotide ribosomal RNA is filed under the name Triticum aestivum (bread wheat). RNAcentral's name for it is "partial small subunit ribosomal RNA". Lineage: Eukaryota; Viridiplantae; Streptophyta; Magnoliopsida; Poales; Poaceae. The record is from RNAcentral.
GGCGGCAGAGCCUCGUAGCGUGCCGUCGUUCGGGCAGCGGGGGGUGGCGGCGUGUCGCUGGAGUCGGUGAGGCCGGUCCUACCAGCGCAAGUCAAGGUGGUCAUGGUCCACCAGCCCUCCCCGGACGGCUGCGGCUGGCUCCUCGUAGGGUCCUAGAUGGCGUACUUCGAGACCCGGUGGUUGCUCCAGGCGCGGAUCAGGUUCAAGACCACUCCUUAAAUGCUAAGCUUAGACCUUCGGAGAGCUCUUACGCACUUCUUCUCGUUGCCGGUCUAGGAGCGGAAGUUGCUCUAAAAACCAUAAGACCAACGGAAUGGUUUCUUCCUGACCUAUGUUGUACAUGUUCCUCAUGGCACUGUGGUGGGAAUUACCGCGGCAGCUCGUCUACAUGUGCCUCUACCGAAGGGCGGUGGCACAGUCCGGGGGGACGUAGGUCUAGUAGUUCUGCCGGUGACAGGUGAAGUUGUAGACGUCCGCACUAUUGUGAUUCGUCAAAGUGUCCAGCCUGUAGUUCAAGGGCGACCAGAUGGUCUUCCAGUCCGGUGGUUUGUCCUUCGACUUCUGCCGGAAGUUCCGGAGCUCCGGUUUGAACAAGUGCACUAUUCAGUAGGCGAGUAUUGGACAUUCGGGCAGGUAAUACUUCGUAGUAACGAUCAAGUAUAAUUAUCAUAACUAUACGUUGUAAAAGAAUAAGAAUUAAGAUCUAUCGUCAAGGCGCAUCACGGGAAAUACCCGAACUGUUGGGAAACAAAUUAGAAACAUUGUAAACACCAAUAUACUGACGGACUAAGCUC